Molecule: long non-coding RNA, 291 nt
Filed under: Ornithorhynchus anatinus (platypus)
Lineage: Eukaryota; Metazoa; Chordata; Mammalia; Monotremata; Ornithorhynchidae
Description: lncRNA (ENSOANG00000033913.2)
Source: RNAcentral
AAACUAAGGGACAAAGGGAGGGGGGGGAUGACCUCUCUGAUCCCUACAGCCUCCAAUUCUGUGACGCAACUUCCAUCACUGCAGGGAGUGGGGUUCUGCCAACAUACCUCCAUCUUGAUCCCUCAGAAAAAAAACUGCCACAAGGAGACAUUUAUUUGCAAGAUUCUCGAGCUUGGCCGAACCCAGAGGUGCAUCCUGUCCCUUUUUCCCUGGCAAGUUCUGGAAUGGGCUAGUGGAGUCAGGAGUCAGAUGCGUGGUCUUACCCAAUUAGCCUGGUUCACAGAGGAAUGA